RNAcentral lists this long non-coding RNA (861 nucleotides) under Nicotiana benthamiana. Its description in RNAcentral is "long non-coding RNA (NBEN_LNC009528)". The record is from RNAcentral. Lineage: Eukaryota; Viridiplantae; Streptophyta; Magnoliopsida; Solanales; Solanaceae.
UACAGACAAGUAAGAGAUAAACUACGUAAAGACAAAAGUAGGCGAACCGAACUGAAAACAGUAGUCGAAAUUAAAGAUAGUCAAGCAAUUACUAACACAGGGCUCGAACUAGAAAGCACUAACCAAUUACUAGUAAGAGAACUAGUACGGGUAGGCAAUCAAGAAUUAUGCUAUAACUAUCACAAAUAAUUAAUUUAGGACAGGGCAGAUAGAGAUUAAUCGAUGAAAUAAGGCACCAACUCCCGACAGUGUAGAACUUGGAUGGACUGUCGUGAAUGCCAAAGGGGGCGCUGCGGCAAUAACCUUAGUCAAUUUCCAGCUGUUCACGUGCUCCACGUGAAGUUGCUGCCUCCAACCUAAUCUGGCUUCUCGCCAGUGCGUACGUCUCACACUCUGUUCCGGUGACGCCGGCAAAGUGAGUACCUGUAAAACAGAAAGAGGGGCCAAAAAAAGGAAAAAACAGGAAAGGAAGAAGAGGGGUAGAUGGUACGCAACCUCAUAUCUGGGCCAGUUUCCAAUAAGUUUCCGGUAGGUUUUCGGUGAUAUAAUUGGUCACAAGAAAAAAAAAGGGAGAAAAAAGAAGGGGUGGCCUCUACUACUAUGACAUGCGCUGGUUUAGGGAGAGAAAGAAAGAUGAAUAAGUAGGGAAAAAUAAGGGAAGAGAAGGAGAGACAUGGAAAGGUAGGAGCGAGAGCGUCGGGAAGAGAUAAAAACGGGAGAGGAGAAGAAAACAACGAGGACGGGGGAAGAGAGAGAAAGAUGGGGGAGCGGACCUACCUAAUUUUCCAGUGAUAGAGCAGUCGUCGGUUGGGAAGUUUGUAAGAGAAAGUGACGUCACAAUUUGAGAUGAGAGAGAAGGAG